CCUGUUUGCUUUUUCAGGUUCUGCCACAAUCUAGUACCUCUAGAAACAACUGCAUCCUCCUUAACUGCUCUUGACCCCACAUGGAUUGCCUGGUUACUUUACAGCACCCUGCCAAACAGCUUUGUAACUCAUCUCUCUUUCGAUGACCUCUGUAUGCCUUCCUGCAGUCCUACCCUAGAGCCCUACAUCUAAACCAUUUUCUAACACUGCUUCUCUGUGGCAUCCUUAGCUGAGGGGGGGAGGGAUGACUGCCCUAUCUACAGGCUAGCCCCAGAAUCAAAUGGAGAUGACAGAGCUAGCUCUGCUGCAGAAGCUUGUGUUCCUUUGGUAUCUGGUUUGUGAGAGAGCACUGCCACAUUCACCAAAGCAGGGAGAGCAAUGGGAGGUGUGGGGUGGAGAAACCUGAUUAAAAAGAAAGCAACACCCCACCUGUACCCCAAAGACUGCUACGUGCUGGCAUGAGACAAAGAGAUCACAUUAAUUCAAUUAGCUUGCAUUAAUUAUGUAAUAUAAACCACUCUCCUUGUACUUGAGCAGGAAACGUUGACCUUUACCUAAAUAAGAUGUCCUGAUGGCUUAUGUAUGGAAAAUAAUAAUCCUUCUAAAUUAUGUUACUGUUGUUACAGGAGUAGGAGCUGCAGAGCACAAACCAGAAAGAGCUAUCGCUAUUGUGCAGCUGGGGAACUGAGUCGUGGUGAAGUCAUGGGCAAGAAGAACCAGAGGAGGGGAAGGUAGAGCAUCACCUCGUAGAGCAUCAUCACCAAAGAAACCCAUGGACUUAAGAGUCACACAUGAUCAGAGACAACAAAGAGCAACAGAAUUCAGUGCCUCAGCAGACGACUGCAGGCAUACAGAAAAGAUGCAUGUUCCCCAUUCACCAGAAUUCCUGUUCUAAAGGUGAGAGAAACACGUAACAGCCAGACUUCGCAUACACCCCCAGACCCAAUGGGCAAUAUAGUCUGUUUGCAAUGCUGAAAACAUAAGCUACUGACUCCUUUAAUAAUACCAUACAAUACUAAAUAAAACUCAAUAAAGGAAAACUAGCACAAAUCCGUUUGCGUCAACCACCCUAAAACAAGAACAACAAAAGCCUGGCUAAAUUUCCAGGCUUACUGUAAAUACUACUUUAACUUCCUCAAAACCAAAGCAAGUGACAGCGUUUUGAAUCAAAUCCUACAGCCUGUCACACCCCUGAGCUUGUCCACAUCACAGGUCUGUGCAGAAUUUGGUGCUUCAGCCACAUGAAGUGAAGGCUUCCUGCAAGGAACACCAUCUCACUCCAAAACGACGGUGCUCCUCGGUAAGAUGACACACUUCAUGUAUCGUGCAUACAACUGAAUCCCCUCUAAAUUGACAAUUUCAUAGGUAUUCAAACAACUGAGGGAAGAGAUGAGCAGAAUAGGAAGGAAAGGAAAGAGUACAACAGGCUGGCAAAAAGUUUACUAGGAAAAACUGAGAGAUGUCAGAGGGAAACAGAAAUCCUAAGGUCUGCUAAAAGCAAACCUGCAGCACGCAGUUCCACAGCUACAAGUGAACAGGAAAAACAGAAUCAGAUACUUCCUCCAAGAGCACAGCUGCCAACUAGCACUAGAGAAAGUGAUGGUCCUGCCUUGCCCUCCUAAGAGGAAGUGCUUGUAUAUAACCCACGUGUACAUCAGACUUGGCACAUGUAGCAG
This is a long non-coding RNA of Melopsittacus undulatus (budgerigar), 1676 nucleotides long. NCBI's taxonomy places the organism in Eukaryota, Metazoa, Chordata, Aves, Psittaciformes, Psittaculidae. The record is from Ensembl.